Paramuricea clavata is the source of this 821-nucleotide non-coding RNA. Lineage: Eukaryota; Metazoa; Cnidaria; Anthozoa; Malacalcyonacea; Plexauridae. The record is from the annotation of a GenBank genome assembly.
UUCUGUGACGUAACUUUGCUGUAUUUUUUCCACGUAAAAAUUGCCUUGCGUGACAUGGUAUCAUUGAUCUUGUGCAUUUGCUUUCUUAUUUCUUAUUCAUCCAGCUGAAUAAAUAAAACAUUUUUAAAACCAGUGAGGGUAAUAAUGUUCUAACUACGCCAUAACAUUUAUACCAAAAUAAGAAGUUAAAACGCUAUAGUUAAGAGUUUUUAUACAAUCAGUCUAGAGUGUUAUCAUGCAUUUAUUGUUCAUUAUACUGUACGUUCUUCAUAGUUACAUAAUAUAAUACAGACCUAACUUUGAAAACUCGAUGGAAUUAGAAUAUAUAGGAAUCGUUAUUCAUAGGUUUAUACAAACAUUCUUGCUCACGUCUGCACUGUAUUUUCACCAAAUAAAUUACGCAGUUGUUCAAGUUGAUGUUAGACCUGUGAUAACAGAACGCAUUGCAUGCUAUUCGUGAUAAAUUGGGAGACAAUACGCACUUGAAAAGGAAGAACUAGAUUUUUGCAUAAACCUAUAAACAGCAACAUAGUUGAGUUGUGUUAUGUAUUCCCAUGGCAUGUAGUUUCCAAAUUUUGAAUGAAUUCUAUGAUUUCUUCAUUACAUCAUUUCCCUGUUCCUGAAUUUUGUUUUGAGCAGUUUUUGUUCAUCCAGUUAGUAACUGCAUUAGGAUUCUUUUUAAAAGCUCUCCUGCAAGUAUGCGUACAAACUGUGAAAAUAAUAGGAAUGCUUUUCACUCCAAAUAUCUCUUCAACAGUCUUGAUGAUUCUUACUCCAGGACCAAACACUGGACCAUCACAACAGUCGCAGAUCCCGGGACU